AACCACCGCCGAGUCAAGAUUCAGCGAUUCCACAGCAAUCGCCCUAAUGACAACAGCCUCAUAAUAUCUCCCCUAAAUCCACAGUGAGUGCAGCAUUGAAACAUUUUGUUUCGCUUUUCUAUUGGUCUACGGCGUGUCGUUGUGGCGUUGCCACGGCAACCGCUGCCAAUCACUGUCAGCCCUGCCAAUCAAUACCGAGAACGUAAGGACGGUUUUACCACUUAGCCAGAGUUGGGGGGGGGGGGAGGGGGAGAGGAGGGAAAGAGGGAGAAGGGGGAGAAAGAGAUUUUUUUUUAAUCUUUGCAACUCUUAAUCUCGCCACUUCUCCCUCUCUCUCUCUCUCUCUCUCUCAGCUCCCUUCUUUCCUCUUCCCCAAAGAAGUUGAUCCAGAAAUUCAAAAUGCCGUGGGCAUAGAGUUGUUGAAUGGGAUGAGCAAUUAAAGGGAUUUUUGUCGGGAAGUGAGAGACUCCCCAUGCCGCCUGAAGGCCGAAGGCCAGCCCUCAAGUAGAGCCCGAGGGCCGGCCGAGCAGGCACGGUUUGCACACGGUGUGCACGUCGGGCUGUCUCUUUCUGCCUAUGUGAGCACUAAUACUGGUGAGGAAGAAAGAAGAGAUGAGAUCAUGGGGCCCACCGCACGCUGACCCUAGCUGCUGCGGCGGGGUUCCCGGAUUUCGGGGGGCACCUGGCGCCCGAGAGGCUGAGCUCAGGCCCCAGGGUGUUGGAAGCCGCUCUGGCCUCCCCCGUCCUGGUUCAUCGGCCACGUUUACCUCGAUUUCAUCUGCAUUGGAUUCCACCCGCUUCUCUUUCCUCAGCUCCGGGUCAAGGAGCCUUGAUUUCCCUUAUUGCCCUGUAUUUUAAAAUACCAGCAUAAAUAACACUACACUUCUUUUUAUCUUGAAAGGCAAGCCACGUCUUUGUUUCCCCCUAGACUUCAGCUGUGUCCCCUGGGAGCUGAGAAGUCUGGAACCCUCUGGAGCUCCCUGAAAUGCCUGCUACCUCUACUCCUCCAAGGAGCUCUGGACUUGCCUACCAGCCCCAGAAGGACAGUCAAACUUUGGAGGCUUUCCCAAAGAAGCGGAUAGGCCUGAACAUUGCAUGUUUGCUCAUAUUGUAAAGGAAAAAAAAAUAAUACAACUAAUUCACCUAAGCAAAGUAACAUUACAAGCCUAAAACAGACCCCAAAAAGCCCAUAGGAUACAGAGAGCCCUUCCUCCCUCUGGCCACGGCAACCCCCCCUCCCCCACUCCCAGGGGCCGGUAGGGGUAUUUAUUCUAAGGUAUGUUGCUUUUAAGAAGAUGUAAUCAGCAUCUUUAGUGGGGUCUCCCUUUGUGAGGCCUCUGUAACUAUGGAAGUGUGAUUUACGCAGAUUUGUCGGGGUCAGAGACGUCUUUCCCCUGAGCACUGUGUAUAUUUAGACAGGACUCGGUUUGGUGUUAAAAAGUGUAUAUUUUGAAUGAGUUCACACACAGUAGCCAACAAUGCCCACAUUGUCGGCCCGUGUACAACGCGUAUUGAAACGCAGCGUCCAGACUUCAACUAAUCUGCCCUCAAUAAAGCUGAAAUAAUUAUCCUAA
Molecule: long non-coding RNA, 1574 nt
Filed under: Lynx pardinus (Iberian lynx)
Lineage: Eukaryota; Metazoa; Chordata; Mammalia; Carnivora; Felidae
Source: RNAcentral